AGAUCGUGUUUCGGAUGCGGUGAUGGCUCAAGUAUUUUGGAAUGAGACAUCAUAGAGGGUGACAAUCCCGUCUUAGCCGACUCACCAAAUCCAUAUGAAGCACUUUCGAAGAGUCGAGUUGUUUGGGAAUGCAGCUCAAAAUGGGUGGUAAAUUUCAUCUUAAGCUAAAUAUCAGCCAGAGACCGAUAGCGCACAAGUAGAGUAAUCGAAAGAUGAAAAGCACUUUGAAAAGAGAGUCAAAAAGCACGUGAAACUGUUUGGAGGGAAGCGCUUGCAACCAGACUUGCUCGCAGUGUUCAGCCUCCUGACAAGGUGGUGCACUCUCUGCGUAGCGGGCCAACAUCAGUUUCGACGGCCGGACAAAGACUCGGAGAACGUAGCUUUCCUUCGGGGAAGUGUUAUAGCUCCGAGUGUAAUGCGGUCAGUUGGGACUGAGGAACUGCGCUUUUAUGCUAGGAUGUUGGCGUAAUGGUUGUCAGCGACCCGUCUUGAAACACGGACCAAGGAGUCGUAAAGUGGCGCGAGCGUUAGGGUGUUAAACCCCUGCGCGAAAUGAAAGUGAACGUAGGUGGGAGCUUCCGAGUGGAGCGCACCAUCGACCGAUCUGAGUUCGCGAGGAUUUGAGUAUGAGUGUUACUUUACGGACCCGAAAGAAGGUGAACUAUUGCUGACUAGGGUGAAGCCAGAGGAAACUCUGGUGGAGGCUCGCAGCGGUUCUGACGUGCAAAUCGAUCGUCAAAGCUGGCAAUAGGGGCGAAAGACUAAUCGAACCUUCUAGUAGCUGGUUCCUGUCGAAGUUUCCCUCAGGAUAGCAGCAACGAAUAAAACAGUCUCAUGAGGUAGAGCAACGAUUAGAGGCCUUGGGGUUGAAACAACCUUAACCUAUUCUCGAACUCCGAAUAUGUGAGAAGUCCUU
RNAcentral lists this ribosomal RNA (916 nucleotides) under Chapsa murioelongata. Its description in RNAcentral is "partial large subunit ribosomal RNA". It matches the Rfam family "Eukaryotic large subunit ribosomal RNA", at positions 151 to 1085 of the family's 3401-position model. Lineage: Eukaryota; Fungi; Ascomycota; Lecanoromycetes; Ostropales; Graphidaceae. The record is from RNAcentral.